GGGCGUCUACUCCACACCCAUAGGCGUACCACCCGAAAAAAGGAGGAACAUGCGGCCCUUUGGCUCAGGGUGCGGCAGUGUGGAGACCUGUCGUAAAGCGGCGCGUCCCAUAGCGGGCGGCCGCAAGGGCGUUUCGUGCGAAGGCAGAACGCUCAGAGCUGUGCAAUAUGGCA
Molecule: non-coding RNA, 173 nt
Filed under: bovine gut metagenome
Description: malK-I RNA
Rfam family: malK-I RNA
Source: RNAcentral